CAGAAACUUUCUGAAAUCUUCCAGAAUUUUCUUUCUAUCCUUGAGGUGUCAUUUUACAUGAGAGUUCUCAGUGGGUCUUUUCAAACUGGAGACUCAUGAUCAUGACAAUCUGGUGCACUCCGACUGUGUUCCACCACACCUCCUUAAUGGGGUUGAAAACCUUCCCAGGGAGACCGUUAGACUGAACAAAUCAAACCCCAGAGCCUUGGUUCAUGUGAAAGGAGAGAGGAGCCGGGUCUAGACAGGGGAACAAAGCUAGAUCCACCAGACACAAACUGCAAGCUAACUUUGACCCUGCUGCCCACCCGCGCCUGGUGGGCUCUCCAUCACUCUGUGACCUCAAGCACUCCCUGUGCAUGGUUGGUCACUCUCUGAGCCAACACAUGCCACCAGCCAUGCUGUGUCUAGCGUCUCCUUACCAUGUGGAUUAAGGGUGGAGUCCGGGGCAGGUUGUUCUACCUGGACGUCAGGCUGCAAUCACACAGCCAAGAGCAGCAGGACAAUAGAUGUUUGGGCCCGAGGCGUCACUUGCCCUCCAUGUCAUGCAGUUCUGGGGGAGCAGCCUGGACAAGUUGAGUGCCACCUUCUUAACCCUCCUUGGACUCCAGAGAAAGCUGCAUGUCACCCCCAGCUGGACUACAGAGAGGAACUUCUUGCAAACUGGAGUGAAAUACCACGUCUAGGACAGAGACACUGAUACAACCUAGUGACCUUAGCCCCAGUUCAUCAACCCCUGUGUGAGUCUCUGCACAAUUUUAUCACACAUAUAGGCUCCUGUGUGCACCUCAUUGACUCUUCACAAUCACACCAAUCUUUUCCUCCCCUCCCUCAUCCACAUCUUUGUCCACCUUCCUCCCAUCCCUAGCUUCUGGCAGCUACUGACCUGCUCUCUAGUUCCAUCAUUUUGUCAUUAUGAAAUGUUAUAUAAGUGGAACACACAGUGUAGAAUACUGUACCAGGACUGGUGUUUUCAUUCCACACAAUUCUCUGGGAAUUCAUUAAGGCUAUAUGGGUGUCAACAGUUAAUUUUUGUUUAUUGCUCAGUAGUAGUUCAUGCUAUGGAUGUACUACAGUUUGUUUAAUAUUUAACACUUAAAGGACAUCUGGCUCGACUUUUGUAACGGGGUAUUAUGACUAUAGCUGCUUUGAACAUUUGUAUACAAGCUUUUUUUUCUUGAUGAACCCAAAUUUCAUUUUUCUGGAAAAAUAACUCAAAAUUUAAUGUCUAGGUCAUAUAGUGAGUCCAUAUUUAGUUUUCUAAUAAAUUGACAAAACAUCUUAGAGAGUU
Molecule: long non-coding RNA, 1288 nt
Filed under: Heterocephalus glaber (naked mole-rat)
Lineage: Eukaryota; Metazoa; Chordata; Mammalia; Rodentia; Bathyergidae
Description: lncRNA (ENSHGLG00100039691.1)
Source: RNAcentral